Molecule: ribosomal RNA, 497 nt
Filed under: uncultured bacterium
Lineage: Bacteria
Description: partial 16S ribosomal RNA
Rfam family: Bacterial small subunit ribosomal RNA
Source: RNAcentral
GAUGAACGCUGGCGGCGUGCCUAAUACAUGCAAGUCGAGCGAACAGACGAGGAGCUUGCUCCUCUGACGUUAGCGGCGGACGGGUGAGUAACACGUGGAUAACCUACCUAUCAGACUGGGAUAACUUCGGGAAACCGGAGCUAAUACCGGAUAAUAUAUUGAACCGCAUGGUUCGAUAGUGAAAGACGGUUUUGCUGUCACUUAUAGAUGGAUCCGCGCCGCAUUAGCUAGUUGGUAAGGUAACGGCUUACCAAGGCGACGAUGCGUAGCCGACCUGAGAGGGUGAUCGGCCACACUGGAACUGAGACACGGUCCAGACUCCUACGGGAGGCAGCAGUAGGGAAUCUUACGCAAUGGGCGAAAGCCUGACGGAGCAACGCCGCGUGAGUGAUGAAGGUCUUCGGAUCGUAAAACUCUGUUAUUAGGGAAGAACAAAUGUGUAAGUAACUAUGCACGUCUUGACGGUACCUAAUCAGAAAGCCACGGCUAACUACGUG